GCUGGGUGUGGUGGCUUACACCUGUAAUCCCAGCACUUUGGGAGGCUGAGGCGGGAGGAUCACCUGAGGUCAGGAGUUCGAGACCAGCCUGGCCAACAUGGUGAAACCCCGUCUCUA
Gorilla gorilla gorilla (western lowland gorilla) is the source of this 117-nucleotide non-coding RNA. It matches the Rfam family "Metazoan signal recognition particle RNA". From Rfam's summary of the family: The signal recognition particle (SRP) is a universally conserved ribonucleoprotein. It is involved in the co-translational targeting of proteins to membranes. The record is from Rfam. NCBI's taxonomy places the organism in Eukaryota, Metazoa, Chordata, Mammalia, Primates, Hominidae.